RNAcentral lists this ribosomal RNA (474 nucleotides) under uncultured bacterium. Its description in RNAcentral is "bacterial SSU rRNA". It matches the Rfam family "Bacterial small subunit ribosomal RNA", at positions 19 to 507 of the family's 1533-position model. The record is from RNAcentral.
AUGGCUCAGGACGACGCUGGCGGCGUGCUUAACACAUGCAAGUCGAACGGUGACCCAGGGCUUGCCCUGGUGAUCAGUGGCGAACGGGUGAGUAACACGUGGGCAACCUGCCCCUGACUUCGGGAUAACUCCUCGAAAGAGGAGCUAAUACCGGAUACGACCACUUCGGACAUCCGAUGGUGGUGGAAAGUUUUUCGGUCAGGGAUGGGCCCGCGGCCUAUCAGCUAGUUGGUGGGGUAAUGGCCUACCAAGGCGACGACGGGUAGCCGGCCUGAGAGGGCGACCGGCCACACUGGGACUGAGACACGGCCCAGACUCCUACGGGAGGCAGCAGUGGGGAAUAUUGCGCAAUGGGCGAAAGCCUGACGCAGCGACGCCGCGUGAGGGAUGAAGGCCUUCGGGUUGUAAACCUCUUUCAGCAGGGACGAAGCGAAAGUGACGGUACCUGCAGAAGAAGCACCGGCUAACUACGUG